AGUGAACGCUGGCGGUAGGCCUAACACAUGCAAGUCGAACGGCAGCACAGUAAGAGCUUGCUCUUACGGGUGGCGAGUGGCGGACGGGUGAGGAAUACAUCGGAAUCUACUUUUUCGUGGGGGAUAACGUAGGGAAACUUACGCUAAUACAGCAUACGACCUACGGGUGAAAGGAGGGGAACUUCGGACCUUGCGCGAUUGAAUGAGCCGAUGUCGGAUUAGCUAGUUGGCGGGGUAAAGGCCCACCAAGGCGACGAUCCGUAGCUGGUCUGAGAGGAUGAUCAGCCACACUGGAACUGAGACACGGUCCAGACUCCUACGGGAGGCAGCAGUGGGGAAUAUUGGACAAUGGGCGCAAGCCUGAUCCAGCCAUACCGCGUGGGUGAAGAAGGCCUUCGGGUUGUAAAGCCCUUUUGUUGGGAAAGAAAAGCAGCAGGUUAAUACCCCGCUGUUCUGACGGUACCCAAAGAAUAAGCACCGGCUAACUUCGUG
This 492-nucleotide ribosomal RNA is filed under the name uncultured bacterium. RNAcentral's name for it is "partial 16S ribosomal RNA". It matches the Rfam family "Bacterial small subunit ribosomal RNA", at positions 29 to 507 of the family's 1533-position model. The record is from RNAcentral.